RNAcentral lists this long non-coding RNA (27432 nucleotides) under Ananas comosus (pineapple). RNAcentral's name for it is "long non-coding RNA (ACOM_LNC018997)". The record is from RNAcentral. Lineage: Eukaryota; Viridiplantae; Streptophyta; Magnoliopsida; Poales; Bromeliaceae.
UAUAUAUAGAGAGAGAGAGAGAGAGAGUUGAGCUAGAAUACUAUCGGUAUACACACACACAGCACACACACCACACACACACACACACACACACACACACACACACAACACACACACACACCACACACACACACAUCAGUCCUAUUGCACAUCUAUUUUUUUAAUGGAUCUAGAAACUCGAUAAGAGUUGUCUAAAAAUGUUGAAUUGGAUUGUGCGUAAGGAUUCUACACUAAGUUUUUGGUGUAUAAGUGCCCCCCCCCAUUUUUUUCUGUUUUUUCUACUAAGGAUUAACAGAUCUAUGGAGAACCUCAACUUAUAGAACAUUUAAAAUGAAACUUUUAACACUUUUGGCUUUUUUUGGAGCACUGAAAGUCUUAUUCAAUAGUAUUUCUGAAAUUUACUUAGGAAACUACUUAUAGUAUCUGGUAGAUGUUGAGUUUGAUCACAUGUGUUCAAGAAUUAUACAUACUUGGCUUUCAAGUGUAGGUUUUUUAGAAUAAAAACCAAAUUACCUAUUAAAUGAUUAUGUUUAGAUCCGUAACGGUAAAUGGAUGGAUGUCACGAUGUUUUUCUAGCGUAACGAAAAUCAAACCUCUUCUACCUCGAAGCGCAACAACAAGAUUCUUCAUGCAUUGGUGUUAAGUAUUGUAAAUAUCUAUAUCCGACCUUAAACCAUUUUAGGGGGGUCAAAGUAAGAUAUCUCCAUGACUAAGUUUACUUUACAUGUAAAGAUGCUUAUUACCAUAUGAAGAUUUUCCCAACUUUCCAGUGGGUCACCCAUCCGCUAGGACUACUUUCCGUCCUCAGCACGCUUAACUCUCUUAACCUCCGGCCGUCUUAGCUGCCACGCAAAAAUGCUUUAACCGGAUUGUAAGAGUUUAGCUCCUUUACUAUCCUCUAUAUAUAGGACUAUCCGGAGUCUCCACACAUGUUGGAGGCAAGGAAGUUGAUUUCUCUCCUUAAAGAAUCUCGCUACCUGUAUCUAUUAAGUUUACCCAGCAAGUAUUUGUUUAACUUUACGAGAUAAUUUAUUAUUAUUUCAAAAAAAAUGACGAGAAGGCCAUUUAUGGUGGCGAUCAUUCCCAAGUCAUUUAGUUCCCCAUUUCCAUCUAUCAGAAUAGUGUCAAGAUUUUUGUGUAAAUCAAAUGAAAUUAUGUCAAAAAGAAACAAAAGGUUUAUGCAUUCAAAGAAGACCUUAAUUAGUUAUUUGUUCUCAUCGUCAUGUCUUGAUUUUUAUUUUUUGUUGCCGAUAUUUAAGGCUAAUUCUAGUUAAGUUGGUCUUAAACUUUUUGUUAAAUUAAUGACUUUCUAAAGCUACUUGAAAGUUAAGUUGCUAUAAUUUUUUACUUAUUUUGAAAACAAAAAGUUGAAGAGUAUUAAAUUCCAUGGAAAUCAUCGAUGAAAUUUGAUAAAAUCCUUAAGCUUCUUUGUGUCUCAAUUAACAACAAGAAGAUAAUAGAUAACUAGUUUCCAUACAUUAAGAAUGUUUUUUGUUUUGAGAAAAACCGCUCCUGAGGGUGGAUUUCGGUGAUUUACAUUAAUUGUCCAGUGAUAUCUUGUUCUUGUAUUACCAGUAACAACCUGCAAAAAGUCAAAAGGUGUGAAAUGUGGAAUGAGAGGUAGAAAUGUAUGAGAACUGUGCCUCAACUAUCACUUGAAUAUCGAAUCUUUAAAAAUCUUGAUUUUUACAGUCUAAUCUUUUAUAUUAUUUAGACUUGGAGGCAAUUAAUAACUUCCUUUAACUUCAAAAUUUGAAGCAGUCAUUUAUCAUGUGUAUAGUGAAAUUGAGUUGAGUAUUUAAUGAUUCAUGUUAAUGUACUAUAUUUAUUAAAAAAAGGAAAAAAGAUUAACUUCAGUGGUGAACAGUCAUAAAACAAUUAAAUAAAUCUAAAAUAUUGACUCAGUAGACAUCAAACAUUUUAAAGAUUUGAAAUGUCNNNNNNNNNNNNNNNNNNNNNNNNNUAUGAGUAGAGCUACUAUACUAUCGAAAGUAUAAAGGAUAUGGUGCUUCCGACUUUUUGAACCUUAGAUCAACCUUUUUGAUCAUUUCUAACCUUUGGAUUAAUACUAUUACUCUGUGGGGAUCACUCAACCCUAGGGGUACUAACUACUCAACUCUAGGGGGGACUGCAAUCAUCCCAAUCGUACAUUUCUUGAUCCAAAGGUCAAAAAAUCGGAAGCAUCAAAUUCUCUAUACUUCUAAUAGUAUAGUAACUCUGCACUAUAUAUAGUAUAGAGCUACUAUGUUAUCAGAAGCAUAAAGGAUCUGGUGCUUCCGAUUUUUUGACCAUUGGUUAAAAAAUUGUUCGAUUGAGAUGUUUACGGUCCCCCAAAGGUUGAGUAAUACCGCUAGGGUUGAGUGGCCCCCAGAGGGUAAUUGUAUUAAUCCAAAUGUUAGAAAUGAUCAAAGGGGUUGAUCUAAGGGUCAAAAAAUCGGAAGCACCAGAUCGUCUAUGCUUCCGAUAGCAUAGUAGCUCUAGUCAUAUAUAUAUAUAGAGAGAGAGAGAGUAGGGCUACUAUACUCUUAUGAGUAUUGGGCCCUUCGUACGCGUAAGUUAUUUUCGAUGAUGGUGCUUCCGAAUCAACGAUCCACUCCGUUAAAUAUGAUCUAGAGUAUUUGAAACUUUUAAAAAAUAAAUGUCGUAAUUUUUCGAAAUCAUAAUAAAAUCCAUCAAGCGGGCAUAAAAUGAACUGUCAAAAUCAAACGAUGUCCUCAAAAUGCGUGAUCGGAUCCUUCAAUUUAAGAUCAGAGUUAUUUAUCUUUAUUCCGAUUUUGUUACACCGUUAAACUAGCAAGUAUUCCAUACCGACCGUUAAAAAUUAUCAAUUUUUUGACCUUUUGAUCGUAAGGUAAAUGAUGUCAAAAAAUUAUGAAAUUUGAUUUCUACAAGUUUUAAAUGCUCGAGAUAAUGUUUAACGGUAUGGAUCGUCGAUUCGGAAGCUCUAUCAUCGAAAAUGACUUAUGAGUACGAAUGCGAUCGUACNCUUAAUUUUAUAUAUUAUUAAUAUAUAUUUAUUUAUUAUAAUUUUGAAUAUAUUUAAUUUAUAUAAAAAAGCAUAAAAAUAAUAUAUAUAGUAUAUUAAUUAUUAUAUAUUUAUUAUAUAGCCGAAUUUUUGAUUCCGAAUUUUUAAUUGGUAAACGUAUAAUAUCCGUAUAAAUUAUGUAUCCGAAUAAUUACCGUAUCCGUUUUUUAGCCGUAUUUUUCAAAAAAUUUAAAAAUUAAAAAACGAAUUUUAUCCGAAUUAUAUCCGUACCGAAUUUUUGCCGAAUCCGAAUUAACUAACUAUGCUCUAUACUAGUAUUGUGAAUUGAGAUUAUCUUGUUAUUUUAUUUUUCUUUAGCUGAAGGUUUUCCUGGCAGAACAGAUCAGCAAUGUCAGCACAGAUGGGCAAAGGUUCUUAAUCCUCAUCUCGUUAAAGGUUCCUGGACUCAUGAGGUUCGUAGCUUAAGUUCACCACUAGAAUAAAUAAUUUUAAAGAGAUCUUGGCUUUUAGUGCGUUAUUAAUUGAAUAUAUUAGCAAAACUUGUGCUCCUCUAUUUUUCUAUAUUACAAGAAGAUAAUAAGUUAAUUCAUCUUGUAAAGAAGUUUUUCUAUAUUACAGGAAGAUAAUAAGUUAAUUCAUCUUGUAAAGAAGCAUGGACAAUCAAAAUGGUCUAUAAUUGCAAAUUUUCUCCCUGGUCGCAUUGGAAAACAAUGCCGAGAGAGGUAACCUUUUGAAUUUUCUACUACAUAAAAUGUUCUUGUUAGUUACUUUUAAGAACAGAUAUUUAUUUAUUCACCUCUGCUAAGUUAUCUAUUAACAUAUAUGUCCUGCAAAGUUGAAAUUUUCAAUUACAUCUCUUUGCGAAUUUAAUUUCAUACAUAUGUACUUUUCAACUUGCAAAAUUGCCACUCUUUAAAUACCUUAUUUAGGAGAAAACCAACUUCUCCCCAUGAAUGACCCUCCAACAAACCAACUUUUCCCAUGAAUGACUCUCCAACUCAAUAUAAGGGUAUUUAUGUAAGAAUUGCAGUUUUGACGGGGCAAAUGAAAAUUCAGAUCUUGAAACAGUUUGUAUGUAACCUAUUAGUUUUCAUGUUAAAGGUUAAGAAUAUUCAUUUCCAUUUUGUUUCCUAGUUUUCACUUUUCAGUCUUAAAGUUAUAUUGACCUUUUCUUUCAAUGGUAUAGAUUAUUUUGCACCUAAGUAGUUUCUAGGAAUCAAAAUAGUGGAUAAUUCAAAGAGAGAGAAAUUUUAUUGUUAUGCUGACUCUCUGUUUUAUUUAAAUAGUAUAUACAAAUCUAGGGAUUACAUGUUUGGAAAGUAACUGUCUGAUUCCUUUCCAUCAUAAUUUGUUGCAUCCUUCGUAAUAAGUUGUUGGUCUUUGUCAUUCUUAGAGAUGUUUGGCCCACGGCUGAAACUUUUAUAAAAGUGCUGUUAAACCAAGAUUUUUGAAAAAACGUUGACAACUUUUUCAUUGAUAUACUCCGCAAGCUUCCUUAUUAUUGAAGCUAGAAGCUUCUAAUUGGAGCAUGUGCUUUGGGGGCUCAUAGGCUCAUUUAUAUUACCCACUACGGCAAAAGCGCUGGUCUUUUUAUUUUCCAAACACUUACCUGCUGCUUUUCAAAGUAGAGAAGCGGUUCCAGUAACCAGGUCAAAUGAGUACUUGCAGUGUUGAAAUUAGCUCAUUGAUAUUUAUCGUUUUUAUUUUUCAGGUGGCAUAAUCAUCUGAACCCUGAAAUUAAGAAAGAUGCUUGGACUGAAGAGGAAGAAAUUAAGCUCAUAAAUGCUCAUCGUGUGCACGGAAAUAAAUGGGCAGAAAUAGCGAAGUUGCUCCCUGGAAGGUACUUAUGUUCAUUAAGAAUAUCCUUUUUGGGUUAGUUUCCCAUCAUUCAUGAUACUGGACUCCCAUAUUUCAACACUAAGCAUCUUUUUACAACAAUUACUUUCUUUUUCAUCUAUGUUGGCCUAUAUUGCAAUAUUAAUGCUAAUUCAUUUUGUUUUCUUAAUCAUGAAUAGGACUGAUAACUCAAUAAAAAAUCACUGGAAUUGUUCUAUGAAGAAAAGGUUUGAUUUUUACAUGGCAAACGGCAAACUUCCACCCUCUCCAAAGUUUGAAUGCCAUGAGUCUUCGCAAACCGAAGCAAAAUUAACUAGUCAAGAAAGGAAUUUCUUCUUGGGUAAAGGUUCAGAUAAAAGUACUAAUUUUAGCUUGCUGGUAGACUCAUGCAAAUUGGAAAACCGCAUGGACUUAGAAAACCCAGCAGGUGUACCAGUAGGAAAGGGUGAUUCUGCUGUUGAUUACAGAACACAGACGGUCGAAGUUGAUCCUAUCUGUAACAAAGCUGUUUCAGAAGAAGUUUUUGGGAAGGGUCUUAAAAUGAUUGGAAUCAAUCAAGACAAGAGAAGCCCUAGCACAAUAUUAGAUUGUGAAAGUUCCCCCAUGUUUGAUUUAAUUUGCUAUGAGCCACUUCAAUUAGAAGAUUUUGGUGCUUCCGUAAUGUUUUCUCAGUCAUGCAAAUUAGAAAGCCACAAGCGCCAAAUUGGAAAACAAGAAGGAUUGUCCUUGACGGUACGGAAUUGUCACCUAGGAUCUUCAAUUGGUUUAUCACUAAGAAGUGAUGAUUCUGAUGUUAGAGACAAAAAACAGAGCGAGGAAAUUGGCCCUACAUUUAAAAAAGCUGAUUUGGGGGAAAAUUUGGGGAGAAUUUACAAAAUGGGUGAGACUGAUCGACCCAAGAAAAGAACUCGAUCAAUCUUAAACAAUGAAGGCACUCCUAUCUUUGGCUCUAUUUGCUAUGAACCUCCACAUUCAGAAGAUCUCGGUGCUUCUAUAUUAAGAACUCCCCCUUCUGGUGGUGGGAAAGUUUCAAAGGUGCAGAGUUAUCAGAGUGUUCUCAAAAGUGCAGCAGAAUGCUUUUUAAAAUUGGGUGCACCCUCUAUUUUAAGAAGCAGCAAGAGGGAAACACAAACUCCUCUUUCUCCUCUUGAUGCGUCUUCUACUUCAAUGAAAAGCAACGAUGGGAAUAUUGACAAGAUAUACAAAUCAACAAUAUCCACAUUAGCCACAAGUUGUUGUCGUGAUAGUGGAGCCAUAUCUGAUGAUGGAAAUAGUUAUGGUCCGUCUCCUCCCUAUCAACUAAGGUCAAAAAGAGCUGCAGUCCGCAAAUCUUUAGAGAAGAAGCUUGAUUUUUCAUUGAAGGAUGAUGAUUUCAAUACCAAUUCCAAAAUUUGACACCAACUUUACUGACGCACAAUUUGGUUGCAAGUUUAACAACCAAGUUUGACCCAAUUCAGAAUCUCAAGGUAUAUUCUGGAAACCUUUUUUAAGUUAUUGAUUGAUUGCAUGUUGUUGGUGGACAUUUUUAUCCUUUGUCAACAUCUAAGUUCCUUUGAUAAUCUACCCUGCUGGAAAAUCCUUAUUUGUGUCGAUAUUCACUGAAAUUCCAAUCAAAGUUAAAUAUUUGUUUUUAAAUUUAAUCACAGUUUAGAUAUUUUCAAUUCUUUUAUCUUUAACUCAUUUUCUUUUUGUUUUGACUCGUCCUUCUAUAAUGGUCUUUCUAUAUAUUUUCCUUCUGUCCGAUUGGUUUUCCCUUAGUUGGUAUGCGCACGAUUUCUAUCUUAAGAGUAUAUAUAUAUAUAUAUAUAUAUAUAUAUAUAUAUAUAUAUAUAUAUAGAUACGUGUAACAUUGUUUAUGCACCUACAAAAAUAUUUUUAGAUUCAGAUCUACACAGUGCUAUCACAAAAUUUUGCAGAUUAGGAAACAGAAAUAACGCUUAGACACUUCAUACAAAUAAUAAUCCUAAAGUAGCUAUGUCACAUUUGUACUGAACAGGCUUAUUGUGGAACCAUUUUUUAGCAUGUGAAUAUAUUAUGUUGAUUGUCGAAUCAAUGCUAUAUAUUCUUUCAUUUAUUUAUUUAGUCAUUUAUAUACUUCUAUGUAUUUCUUAAUGCAGCUAUAAUCUCCCAAGCUUGAUUAGAGAAGUAGUAGUGAAGACACAAGUUCUCUUCAUCGGCUGCUCUGGGAUCUAGUUUUUCUUUUUUUCCUUUUUUUUUUCCUUUAGAACAGAUAGAUUUCUUGUAGAAUGUGUCCACAAUCCCUCUACUAUGAUAUUGCAACUUGGCCCCUAUGCUCUCAAAUCAGUAGUAAAAUGUUUUAGUGAAAAGGAUAAGGACCAUGUCGCAAUAUGAGGAUAUAGGGGACUAUCGAUUCAUUUUACUCAUAGAUAGAUGUCCUCUUUCUGGGGGAGGACAUUCAUUUUCACUUUGUACAUAAUACAUUCUGCAGCAAGUGUACAUAAAACUAGAAUAAGAGCAUUCUAGUGCUUGUUUGCCUUGAAUUUUAGAUCAGCUUUUCUGUUUUGAGAAGCAGAAGCAACCAAGUCGUUGCCAAACACUCAAAACUCAUUUUCACUUUGUACGUAAUACAUUCUGCAGCAAGUGUACAUAAAACUAGAAGUUGAAUAAGAGCAUUUUAGUGCUUAUUUGCCUUGAAUUUUAGAUAAGCUUUUCUGUUUUGAGAAGCAGUAGCAACUAAGUCGUUGCCAAACACUCAGAACUCAUUUUCACGUUGUACGUAACACAUUCUGCAGCAAGUGUGCAUAAAACUAGAAGUUGAAUAAGAGCAUUCUAGUGCUUGUUUGCCCUGGAUUUUAAAUAAGCAUUUCUGUCUUGAGAAGCAAUAGCAACCAAAUAUUUGCAAAACACUCAAAAUCUCCCAUACAUUUAAUUGUUAUGUGAAGCGAAAAUUAAGCUACUCCUCGGCCUCAACUAGAAGCUUUGAUUGGGGAAUAUAUUUAACUCAAAUACAUUUUUAGAGAUAAAAAAGCAAUAAACAUUUAACUCAAACAGCGCUUUGGGUAAGCUAUGCUUUUGCACUGGUUGCGUAAAGUUUAUUUGACUGGCGAGCAAUGAAACGUGUACGCAUGUCCUAGUGUUUGUCUCUAUAAUUUUAAAAUGCAUGUGUUUUUUUAACAAAAGCAUGGUUAGGGGAAACAUUGGCGUGCUUAUCCGAGACUAGAGAGAGCUCCCCUUCACGGAUGGCCCUUGUGCUACUCGGUGCUGUACAAAUCAAUUCGCACGGAACGUAACGCUAUUGGUUGUGGAUAUGUGCUUUGCUAAAUUAGGUCAAAAAUUAAUUGUUAUUUCUUUAUUAUGCUCUCCCGGGUCCCCCACCUCAAACGCCAUUUUUUUUUAACGUGCGGGACGGUUUUGGCCCGAAUUAGUUUCUAUUCUAUUUUUGGCUCUCCACUUACUCCAUCUCGUUAGGCGGAAAAAGAGUAAAAAUUUUUGAUAGAAUUUUAACAAAUCAAAGUUAAUCACGUCAGAUUUAGAAUAUAGUAUAUAUUUUAUAAAUUGAGUUUUUUCGUUUUUAAAAGUACUGAAUUAUUGGUGCUUGUGGGUUUUCGAUUUUUUGAAUUAAAAGAUGUACGGUUAUGAUAAUAAUGGUCUUUUAGAGUUGAGUAAGCCGUUCGUUAAAUAGUAUAAUUUAACAGAUAAAAUGAUAAAAAAGAUAGAUGCUUUUAAAAGCACUAUAGUCGGACUCAUAUUUUAUUAAUAUUUUAUUCUCAUUUACCGCUUAAUUUGGGUCUAAUUGGAAUGCUUGAUCCGUAACAAGUCCUAAAGAGAGAGUUAGAGAGAGGAAGAAAUUUGUUCCAACUUGUUGGACCAUUCAACAAUACAGGUAAACCCAAAAGGUAAAAGAUAUUUUUGGAAUCUACCACCAACUCGUAAUACAUAGAGAAGGCUCCUUCAGAAGUUGACUCAACACCAAUUUACACAUCCCUCUAUUAAGAGAGACAAGUUAGAGAGAGAGAGAGAGAGAGAGAGAGAGAGAUGGGAAGGGGGAUUCUGGAGGUGCACCUGGUGGAUGCAAAGGGUCUUGCGGAUACAGAUUUCUUAGGUUUGUAUUUAACUUUUUUUUGUAUUUUUUCGCAGUAAAAUUUGAUAGAUCUAUUAUUAAUUUCUGGAGCUAUUUGAUUUGAUUGAUUGAUGAGAAUUUGUGAUCACAAUGAUUAUUCAUGGGUUACAAUUAGUUGCAGGAAAAAUAGAUCCAUAUGUGUUGAUUCAAUACAGGAGUCAGGAGUGCAAGAGCAGCGUCGCACGAGGUCAAUUUUAAUCUUUGAGUUGUUCAUUUCUUUCUCUCUUUUUUUUUCCCCCCUUUGAACUUUUUCUUUCUCCUUGAACUGAUCGGUUCUUUUUUUAAUGCGAAAUCAUUAGAAAAUUAUUGUUCUCUAUAUAGAAGUUCGGAUGGAUCUAAUCGAUUAUUUGGUUGUAGUUAAUUCAAGUUUAGUGGGUAAAAUCAUUAUUAGUUCUCCCUACCCUUGUGCUGCGUACUAAGAUCUUUUCACCGAGGAAAACCUAUUAUGGCUGAUUUGUAAAUUGCAAUAUUUCUAAUGUUUUGUAUUUACUUGUUUUAUCAUAUUUCAUUAGGAAAAUUAAUAUUAAUAUAUAUAUCAUAUAUACUUUUCAGUAUAUUCUGUGUCAUAUCACAUAUGUCAACUACCAAAAAGAAAUUGCGAUAUAUGCUGUAAAAUAUUGAUGGUGUCGUGAUCCACACUUUAAAAUAUUUGUUAUAUAAGGCCAAGUUGAGUUUUAUAAUCACAAAAGGAAUGAAACGAAAAAGAAAAAGGAAAUCAAACAUGCAGGUCAGAUUCUAAUUAUCACAAGCACAAGCAUUUAGGAGGCUGACCUUUUCAUUGCAUUAUGAACUCGUCAGCGAUAUUAACACAUCAAUUUUUUAUCAGAGAUAUAUAUAAGAUUCAUCGAUUUCAUCAAAUUCAGUCAUUGAAUAAUAAUCAGUUUUAAUGAAUUUAUCUGUCAAUAUCACAAUCAACUAUGUUAAUACGUACAUACAAUGUUUUCAAAACUAGAGAAAAAACUUGAAAUUGUGGUAGUAUGGUUUCUGCUCGAGUGGAUUUUCGACUUAUAUCUAAAUAUAUAGAAGUUUCCUUUGAUUAAGUGUAGGCCAAGGGAGGAACCCUUCAUGGAAUGAAACAUUCAAGUUCCAGGUGAAUUCUCAAGGCUCCAACAUUCAACACAAGCUCACCCUCAGGGUAAUGGAUCAUGACACCUUCUCCCGCGACGACUUCAUCGGCGAAGCUACGUAAGUGAAACCCCCUAGUUUUGCUGUUGCGAGACACAAAUGUUAAUUUUUCGACGGGUUAAGUUGCACUAACAGUUCAUCAAUUCUUUGCUUAGCCACAGUUUAGCUUUUGGCCUCUAAAUAUAUAGACUAUAAUUGACCACUUACAUAAGUUUAACAAGUUGAAUCCCUUAAAUUUAAAGGUUGAGGAUCAAAGUAAAAUUAACAUAGAGUUUACGAAUCAGCGAUCGAUUCAAUCUAUGUACCUUUACUACUUAUUCGAAUAUUGCUUCGGUUUGUUGAUUUUAAGUGUUUGUGAUUAGGAUCAACGUGACUGAUUUGAUCGCGAUAGGGAUGGAGAAGGGAUCUAUAGAACAACAUCCUACCAAGUACAACGUAGUACUCGCGGACCGAAGUUAUUGUGGGGAAAUUCGAGUUGGCAUCAAUUUUAAAGCAAAGGUAUGCCUAUAAGUUGGUUCAAAUCGUUGCGGUAACUAUUUUAUUCCUUGUUACGAUCUUCGUAUUAUUCUCAGAUGCAAGAGGAGGGAGAAGAAGAGCUCGGCGGGUGGAAACAUAGCUUUCGUGCGUGAAAAUGGUUAGAAUUCGGCCGAAACUCUCGAGCAUUUAUCCAUGGUUGUUCAAAGAUGUAAAAGAGUUAUGUGAGGAAUGUAUCAAGGAUGUACACAUUUAACAUCCCUUUUUAUUUUUUUCCACCUUUCUUUUAAACUCCCUUGAAUGAAGAUUUGAUAAGGUUAUUGCUUGUUGUAGCUAGAUAUAGUUUGUUAAAGUGAAAAGGAAAAAAAAAAAAUUGUAAGAAUUUGAGUAUGGAGAUGAUUAGAUGAAUCAAGCCGUAGCAUUAUUGAGUUUGUGAAAUGAGAGACACUGCAUUACUCUUUAUUUAGAAUAUGGGCUUAAAGUUGUCCAAUUUGUUCAUUAACAAUGAUAAAAAAAAAUGAAGCAAUUUUUCUAUAUAUAUAUAUAUAUAUANGGAUGGGGAGAUGUGAGAUUGAGAUGAUGGUGGUAGGUAGUGGUAGGCGGUGAUAGGUGGAAUAGUAUUUGCUCCAAAGACUAUUAGUAAUCAAGGAGUAGAUCCAAGGGAUAGAAACUUAGAAACACCAAGGGGUUGGUGCUUCUAAAAAUAUUCUAGCUAAAUUCUCUCUCUCUCUCUCUCUCUCUCUAUAUAUAUAUAUAAGUGAAUAUUUUUUUUAUUUUAUCUAUUCUUAGAACUCGAAUCUUAAUUUUGUUUUGGUGUUGUCUAAGACUCUACAUUAUCUACUAUAUAUUAUGAUAUUUUCAACAGUAAAUUAUAUUAUAGUUUUUUAAAAAUUAUAUGUAUGUAUUUGUGUUUGAAAAGUAUAAGAACUAAAAAAAAAAAAACUUCUUGAGAGUAACCCAUACUAGUGAAGGCCCCCGCUUCGCCGCGGGAAAUUUACGCAAUUUCUAAAAUUUUUUAAAUAGAUUAUUCAACAUUGUUUGCUAAAGUUGGUUAUAAAAAUUAAGUAAAACCAAAAUGAAUAAUUAAAUAUUUAAAAUUUAAAAUUUUUUAUUAUCCAAAAUUUUUAAAUGUAAAUUUAGAAUAUAAAAUGUUCAAGCUUAAAAUUUAAAUUUUAACAUAUGAAAUUGAAAUCUCAAUAUUUGGAAUUAAAUAUUUGAAUUUUUUAAAUUCAAUCUAUAAUUUAAUAUAUAUUUAAAAUAUUGAAACUUGAAAUUUGAAAUUUAAAAUUUAAAAAUCUUAUAUUUUAUCUUAAUUACUAAAACUAAAUUUUAAAAGUUUACAAUUUUACUUUUCCAUACUUUGCUUCUAUAUAUAUAAUGAAGUGUUUUAUUCCCAUUUCAUAGGCUGACUACGUUAAACCGUUGGUUUCUCCAUUGAUUUCUCUCGUUGUUCGGGUGAGACUCUCUCUUCGAAACGCAUCUUCUGUAGGUACUCUGGUGCUGUGAUCUGUCAGUCUUUUUGAACAUAUGGUUGUGGAUGCUUCUCACUAACUUGAGCUUAUAGACCACCAACAUUUUUAUCUGUUUGCUUUCAUCUCGAUUUCUUUCUGAGCUGCUCAUCGGACAGUAAUGUUUCAUCGAUCUCUGAUUUUUUUCGCUUCUACCGGCGGAGCUUUAGAUUAACAGUCUUUGCACGAUCGAUCGCAAUCGAAGUGGACUGAAAUAAGCUCCCGAAUUGGGUAGAUAACUUUGCAUCAUAUUGGGGGAUUUCUCACUAGGUUUUCUUAGGAUUUUUUGUACUCGCUGUGCUGCCGACGCUCAGUUGCAUAGUUGGAUACGGCACAAUCUACCUCCUGAAAGAGAAGGUCCGCACAAGACAUCGAGUUACCACAAAUAUUAUUCGGUUGUUGCGCUCACAAAUUGAUGCAACGAGAGUUGUAAGUAUGACUCUUAACUAAGUUUUUACAGACUGAAUUGUGUUCGGGAAAAUGACUUUUUAUUGUCUAGGUAGCCUGUAAUUUGCAAAAUUCUGAAAAUGUUCCUGUUUCUUAGGACUCAGUUGGCUGUUUAACAGCAUGCCUCUCUUAAGUUCUAAGCUUGCUCUAAGCCUAUAUUUAUUAUGAAAAUCAAUCUACAUAAGUAACUUGGUCUAUUUGAGAUUAACAACUCCACUCUGCAUCUAUUUGAAAGCUUUUUUUGUGAAACUGCAAGAUUCUAACGUUUCGGGUUUGUCAUAAUUUCAUCUUUGAAUAUUGUUGGCAAAGAUUAUUCUGACUAUAUUGUUUUCAUAUUUCUGUUUUUUUGUUUUAGUUUUUUCUGUAGUCGUUGGUUGAUACAUCGCUACAUAAAAAUCAUAUGUCCUCUCUAUGAAGCAGUUUUCUAUUGGGCUGAUAUAUGUUAUUUCGUUUGAGAAAUGCGAAUGAUCAUUGCCACUGUGUUAUUGGCGCAGAGUAGGUAUGAUAAUGUGGAUAUUCUGCACUGGAUUCAUUAGUUCCUAUUUGACGCAACCGCAUUCUUGCGUACUGUGAAAGGAUGAACUUUUGGUGUGCUGCAUCAAUGUGGAAGUGGGAUCUAGCAUAAAACACGCUAGUGCUGGGACGAAAAGAAAUAGGUAAAUUGAAGGUGCUAAGUUUAUUUUUUAUUGCAUACCGUCGUGGGGAUAAUCCCGCCUGAACCCGUCGGGCUGAGCCGCCGGGCGAUUGUUUUGUUGAAGUCAAUAAUUGACUGCAAGUAAUUAGUUUGGCUCUGUUAAGUUAUUGUGAUCCUUUCAGAAAUAGUUAAGAUACGAUUAUUUUGAUUCUAUUACAACUGAAAAUAUGAAUUGAGUUGAUGGUAAGAUUAUAUUAUAGCAUACCCACGCCACGCAUCAAAAAAAUAAAAAAUAAUGAAGGAAAAAACAUACUUAUGGCGUUUGUCUCUAAUGUUCUAUUGUAAACAAUCUAAUGCCAAACUCAGAAAAGAAAGAUAAGAAAAUCGUCAUACAGAAAAAGUUGUAUAUAACAGAGGGGAUUAAGUUCUAAUAUAAGUUCUCAUGUUGUGAUAAUAAACAGAGGGACGUUAAGUUAGCAAUUACUAAUUUGCAUUAACUUUUCCAUUUGCAUGAUAUUAAUCGGACAGACAACUUUCAGCAGCAGCCGUGACCAACUUUUGUUGGGGCGGAUCCUAUUGUACAAAGAUGAGACGAAAUUUGGUUUUGUGUUCACUAAAAAAAAAGUAUUGCAGAAGGAGGAUGGUCAGAAUAUCAAAUCUUUAUUUGGUCAUAUGGACUGUUAAAGGCGUCUACAGAAUGCAGUAGUUUUUGCGCAGGAAUCACGGAAGCAUGGAAUCAUUAGUUUUUACUUCCUUAUAACUGUCAAAACAAGUUUAUUUGCUUUUGCUAUGUGUCUAAACGAAACAAAAUGUCGUUAUCAUAAAAUUUUUUGGAGUCCUAUUUGUUGUUAAACCAGUCUAAUAUAAUUUGCUAAUUUGACUUUCGGAGUACUUUUAUCUGGUCCUCUGUUUUUGUGCACAUUGUUCUUUUGUCUUUUCAUAUGAUGUCGCCUAGAUCAACAUUGUUGUAUUGAGAUUCGGAUUAUGAAUUGUUAACAUUCCAUAGUUAAUGAUUUAUGAAUAUUAUUCUAGAAAUUUUCUGAUUGUGUUUGGUUGGGGAGGAGAUCCUAAAUGUGAAUAGUCGCCUUUUCGCGCAUUAUACCCCACAAACACCAUUCGUCCUCACAAGUGUCAGAAUAUACGUACGGUAAUAUGGGCUUAUCAUGACCAUUUAUCUAACUCCUUACCCUUACAACUCAGUUAUUCUGCCAAGUUUGGUCGAAACUGCGAAAAAAAAUAAACUGCUAGGGAAGUUUGAACAAGGUUAAUUGUAUUUUUCCCUAUAUCUUCAUAGAGAAUUUGAAUUCCGUAGCUGAAUUUCCUGCUAUUGCUUAGCUGAACUUUGAAUAAUCUACCUGGGCUUUCGAUGCAUGUAAAGUUUAAAAUGUUUAGAAUUCGGAUCUGAACUAACGAUCAGAAUUUUUGAUGGCGUUAUAAAAGGGUAGAAUUCAGAAUUCGAGAUUACAUCAACGAAUAUUUCCCGGAUUGCCAGUAAUAUAAUAAAGGUUAGGAAUAUACUAAAACAUUUAGAAUUCAGAAAAUUUAAAAUACAUAAAUGUGGAAUAUUUCACCAAUUUAAACUGAAAUUAAAAUGUUNNNNNNNNNNNNNNNNNNNNNNNNNAUAUAAUAUAUAUAAUAUAGAAAAUUGCUUCAUUUUUUUUAUCAUUGUUAAUGAACAAAGUUGGACAACUUUAAGCCCAUAUUCUAAAUAAAGAGUAAUGCAGUGUCUCUCAUUUCACAAACUCAAUAAUGCUACGGCUUGAUUCAUCUAAUCAUCUCAUACUCAAAUUCUUACAAUUUUUUUUUUCCUUUCACUUUAACAAACUAUAUCUAGCUAAACAAGCCCAAUAACCUUAUCAAAUCUUCAUUCAAGGGAGUUUAAAAGAAAAGGUGGAAAAAAAUAAAAAGGGAUGUUUAAAUGUGUACUCCUUGAUAAUUCCUCACAUAACUCUUUUUACAUCCUUAACAACCAUGGAUAAAUGCUCGAGAGUUUCGGUCCGAAUUCUAUACCAUUUUCACGCACGAAAGCUAUGUUCCACCCGCCGAGCUCUUCUUACCUCCUUCCUCUUGAUCUGAGAAUAAUACAAGAUCGUACAAGAUAAAAUAGUUAGCCGAACGAUUGACAACAUCUCUCUAGAGAGAGAGAGAGAGAGAGAGAGAGAGAGAGAGAGAGAGUGUGUAGGGCUAUUAUACUCUUAUGAGUAUAGAGCCCUUCGUACUCAUAAGUUGUUUUCGAUAUUGGAGUUUUCAAAUCGACGAUCCACACUGUUAAACAUGAUCUAAAGUAUUUGAAACUUCUAAAAAAUAAAUUUCGUAAUUUUUUAAAAUCAUUAUAAAGUCCAUCAAGCGGGUAUAAAAUGAACGGUUAAAAUUGAACGACAUCCAAAAAAUGGAUAAUCGGAUCAUUCAAUUUAAAAUCGGAAUUAUUGAUCUUUAUUUAGAUAGUGAAUAGAAUUUUCUAUCAAAAAUUCAACCUAUUCCGAUUCUUUUUCACCAUUAAACUAGCAAAUAUCUAAUACCGGUUAUUAAAAAUUGUCAAUUUUGUGAGCUUUUGAUCGUAAGGUAAGUGAUAUCGAAAAAUACUGUAGAUAAUAUUUAACGGUAUGAAUCGUCGAUUCGGACACUUUAUCAUCGAAAAUAAUUUAUAAGUACAAAGGCGAUCGUACUCAUAAGAGUACUAUACUAGCCGGACUCUAUAUAUAUAUUUAUAGAAUUAUAUAUAAUCUACUUCAUUAUAAAUGCUAGCUUGUGGGCUACACCAAAGUUAUAUUUUGGUAUUUGAACAAUAAAAAGAAAGGGGUACAGAACAAUCCAAAAUACAUACUUGGCUGUCCGUUUGUGAGUUGAUCCUAAAAUAGCGCAAUUAAAGCUAUGGAUGAUUCAAAAUUUACACUUUGUUUCACUUCACCAUUCAUAAGAAAUAUUGUUAAUAAAAUUUAACAGAUCAACGGCAAUUCCCUCAAUAUAAAGGCCACUUUCGCAGAAGCUUCUCGGCUUAUCCCACUAGUUAGUAUGUAGGCCUCUGGAUCAAAGAAAAGGUACUACGGCCCACUACAUAUACGUAUGUAUAUUUGUAGCUUGCCAAAGUUUAUUAUAUAUUAUAGCAUGAUAAUAAUAAUAAUAAGAAGAACUAAGCUGGAUUACUAUUAGCACCAAUGAUUUGGUAAUAUUAAAUUUUCUAUCGUUGGAUUAAAAGAUGUGCGGUUAUGAUGAUAUAGGCCCCCUAGAGUUAAGUGCGUGGUUAAUUGAAUAGUAUAAUUGAACGAAUGAAAAUAAUAAAAAAAUAAUCUAACGGCAGAAAACUUGAUAGCACCAAAUACUUUGUGUUAUCGAUAGUAUCUCAGCUGGACUCAUAAUAAUAAUAAGUAUAAAUUUUCCAAGCUUCCCACGUUGAACAAAUGAAAGGGACCUUUCACAACAAGCAACAGAAACAAUUGAAUAUGGGGACCGAUAUGGUAACACUUUCAUAGAAAGUUCCUUGGCACUGUUUUUUAUAUGCAUGAUAAUGGAUAAUGCAAUAUAUAUUCCUGAUAUUUUUUAGGAUAUCGAAAUGGAACUAGGAUUGAUUUGCAGAAUUUUAAAUCUCUGUUCGAACUUCGAAGAAGUGAUUCAACCUCGCAACUAGGAUUGAUUCAAGCCUGGUAUUUUUAUCAUCGAAUCUGAUCAAAUGUAUACGUAUUGCGAAUAUUUUUAUCGUCGAAUCUGGUAUUUAUAAAUCUCUGUUCGAACUUCGAAGAAGUGAUUCAACCUUGCGACUAGGAUUGAUUCAAGCCUGGUAUUUUUAUCGCCGAAUCUGAUCAAAUGUAAACGUAUUGUGAAUAUUUUUUAAAAAAAUUAUUGCAUAUUAAUAUCAUAUAUGAUUUUCAUUAUCAUUGCCAUUAGUACACAUCAUCAUAAGCAGCUGCGGGCUACACUCUCUCUCUUUAGUGCUGCAGCCACUUCAGCCACUGUCACUCAAUCUCUCCCUCUCCGAACUACAUAUGCCAAAAUCAAAAUUAGGCCGCCAAAAUUACUUAAUAAUAAUACUUGAGUUCGAAAAUUCUCCCAGAUUAUUCUUAAAAAAAAUUAAUUAGAAUCGAAAAUUUUUGCCCACGAAGGUUUGGCCGAAUUGCCAGUUGGCGGCGACGGCGUUCCAGGAGGUGGAGGUGCGGCGGUCACCCGCAGUGACGCGGAAGGAGAGGGAUUGUCCCACCAGUACUGCAUUGGACUGCCAAUUCUGGCCCCAGUUCCGGCUCAUCGCCAUCCAAUCAGUCCGCGACCCCUUCACGCUCACUCGCACCACGUCCCCCGAACCGGCCACGUUCGUGAUCAGUACCAAAUUGAAGUACCGGAACCCGUUUAUCGUGAACCGGAUCCCGCCCGCCUUCCGGCACGGCACCCUGCACGAACCAAAAUCCAACAGUCCGGACCAGACGGUCCAAUAAUAUUUAUUAGUAAAAUAUUAUUUUUAAAAAAAUUAUUUAAUAAAUUUGAUCCGUUUCUAUUAUUAUUAUUAUUAUUAUUAUUAUUAUUAUUAUUAUUAUUAUUAACUAAAUAAUAAAUUAUAAAUAGAAGCGGGGGUAAAAUUGUCAAAGUGAAAGAGGGAGGUGCGUGGGAACAUGUGCCCUCGUCUUGUCCAUUAGCGGCGCCUCACGCGUUUCUCCGCUCUCCUCGAAAGUUUCGUUGGAAAAAAUAGUCGCAUUUUUUUCGCAAGAGCGUUACGGUACAAUGGGCCAAUGGCACAUCACUGAUAUUCCCCGAGUAACGAACGAAAGGGAAAGUAAGUUUUGUACGUAAAAUAUAAAUUUCAUAUUUUCUAUAAAAAAUUUAAAUUUUUUAAAAAGACUUAUAAAAAUAAAAUAAUAAAAUUCAUAUAUAAGUGAAACAAGGAGGCCCCGAAAAUAAACGUAGAAAUAAAGACGUAAAUCUAAAAAAAAAAAUUAAAGAGCUUUUAAUAAGAAGAUUAUAAUAAUUUAUUUCUUUGACUUGGACAAAUAUUAUAAUAUAUAGCAAAUUUUAUAUUACUAUUAUAUUUUAUUUCCUAACAAUUUUGUAUUUUAAUUUUUUUUAAAAAAAUUAAAUAAAAAUAUUAAUACUAUAUUUAAGUAAUAUGUUGUUAUAUGAUUAAAUUAUCAUAAAUUUUACGUGGCGCGAACGUUACAGAGGAAAAAAAAAAAAAAAAACUAAAUUAAUAAAGAGCUAGUUUACCUGCGGUAGGAGACGGGGACGAUGCCGGCACGGUACUCGGCGAUCCUGAGGAACAUGGGCAUGGCGAGGUCGAAGUGGGGGCGCGGGGGAUUGCACCAGCCGCCGUCGUCGGAGGGGAGGGCGUAGUUGGGGGGGCAGAAGUUGGUGGCGGUGAUGAGGAUGGAGGGGCUGCCGGCGUGGCACCACCGCGGGUCGUCCGCGCAUUUCAGCUCGAAGCACGCCCCGCAGCUCUCCCCCGAGUUGAACAGCGCCGUGCUCAGCGCCGCCGUCUCCACCCCGUAUCCCUCGCUAUACAAAUUCCCAUACCCGCAUGCACCCCCUACGUACCCAUCCCCACACACACGCACACACAUUUAAAAAAAUAAUAAUUUUAUAUAAUUUAACAUGCAUGGUAUUACAAAAAUACGUACCCAUGGUGCCGGAGGCGUCGCUGCCGCCGUAGAAGGUGGCGUGGGCGCUCUGCCAGGGGCCGCCCGCGUAGACUCCCGGCACGCGGGCGUCCGCUCGGUGGGAGAGUACGAGCAGGGAAAUAGUCAUCAGCAGAGUAAGGAAACAGAGCAUAGUCGACAUUGUCGCUUAUGUUUAGGGAGAGAGAGAAAACGGGGGAGGAGAGAGAGUAGUGGAGAUAUGGGGAUGAGUGAGGAGGUGUGUAGGCGAAGCCGUAUUUAUCAGCGAAUGUGUGUAGUGGUGUUAGUGGGAAGAGAGAGAGAGAGAGAGAAGUGGAGUACUGAUUUGCGCCUUUUGCUAAAAGAAUAAACGAGGAAAAAACAAGUCCCGUACGUGUUGUAUACUUCUUUAAUUACAUCUAAAAAUAUUAAAAUUUAAAUAAAAACUUUUCAAUUUUUAAUAAAAAAUUCUAUCCAUUUCUAACAUACACAUAACGUUAACAUAAAUUUUUGAAUAUUAAUCUUGAAAUUGUAUAACCGUCUCUUCGAAAUUGAGUGAGGAUAAAUUUUAUUUUUUUGGUGCAUGUACCCUGCCAAAACUACUUAAAGAUAUUUUUUGUAUAGUUACUAACAGUUAAGAAUUUUUAGAAAUAUGGUUACAGAUCUUAACUUUAUAAAUAAAUGUAUGUGGGUAUUAUUUUUAUUUUUUUUUGAGAGAUAAAUAACACGCUACCCGCUUCGUUUAUUUUAUUUAGAAAUAAAUUUAGCGAAAAAAUGUGAAUCAAUUAGAAUUCGAAUUUGAAAUCUCGGGUACUAACCACCAAAUUCUUUGUCACUUGCUCUAGGGACGGUCGAUAUGUGGGUAUAAUACUAUACAAACAAUUGCAAAGCAUAUAUAGAGUGUGAAAAUUUUUUUUCUUUUUCUUUUGCUGUAACAUGUGGAAGCAGAGAAUAAAAAAAUGCUUUACUUAAGAUUUGGGUGGAAGAAGAUACAGAUAAAUUAUUGCACACUCCUCGCAGCAACAUCUCUCAUUAUAUAUUUUAAAGUUAAUUAUCGUAUAUUUUUCUAUAAAUAUAUCGAAUAAACAUAUCGAACAGUAAAUAUAUUUUUAUAAAAUUUAACUUUUUAUUUUUAUUACUAUAAAAGUUGAAUAAUAUUUAUAUUUUUUUUCUAAUUUAUUACCAUUAAAGUAUUGCUUAUGUUUUAACCACAGAUAAGCAAAAUGACAAUUUUGCCCAUACGAAUAUAUCAUUCCAAAAAUAAAAACUAUUGAAAUUAUAUAAAAAUUUUCUCCCAAAAAUAUUGUUUAUUCAAUAAAAUAUAGGAAGUAAAAAAUUUUAAUUUAAUUUUACUUAUAAUUAAUUAUAUUUUUAUAACGGAUUUUAACAACAAAGGUAUAAUUGAUAACAUUAGAACUUUUAUAGGAAUAAAAAUAAAAAAUUAAACUUUGUAAGAAUAUAUCUAUUAUGCAAUUAACCCUAUAAUUUAAGUCAUCUUAAAUCUAUAGGGGCGGAAACAUUAAUUCCAAGUGUUCGGGGGGCCGUAAUGUAAAACUCGGCGUACGACGAAGUUGUACGAGCGGAGCGCACGCGGACGCUUUAUUUCCGCCGUCCGAUCGAUCAUUUAAUUGCGCCCGUUAAUCGCCCCCGUCAAUCAAUGCGUCCGUACGCGUCCGCAUGCGCCACCGUGGACGUCCCACAACCACUCGAUGCGGAAAAAAGAGCCGGAGGAAUAAAAUUAUAAAAAAUGAAAAUAUAAAAAAAAAAAAGAAAAAGAAAAAAAGAAAAAAUGGUGAGGAGAAUAAGAUCAAAGAAAAAAAUGCGCACUUUAUUUACUUCCCUAGGAGGUUGUGCCAAAACCAACGGCUGUGAUUCGGCGAGAACUUUUCAACUUUGACCCCUUUUUAGCUUUCAACUUAAACCUUAUCCUUUUGGAACUUACUUUCUAUGAUCUUCGCAUAAAUACCCCUUAAAGAUAAGUGUAUUACUACACGGUAUAAUUUUAUUCAAUGAAUUAAAGUUAUAUUUUAAUUUUGUUCAUAUCACUCAAAUUGUUGUAUUUUACUCUUAUAUAUACACUUAUGCACGAUCCUCUUACGAAGCUUCUUCGCACAAAAAAAAAAAUUAUGUUUAUUUAUUAUUAUUUUUUAAAUAAUAUUAUUUAUUUUUUAAAAAAAAUUUAAUUCCUGAUGAUUAUCCAGGAGAGUUCGACUAAUGAACCCAUCACGUUGUUGGUGGGACCCACCAAGGAGUCCGCAUUGGUGGGACCCACAUUAACCGCACGUGGGACCCACCCCUCGAGCCCCCGACCAACCACAUCCUUUUGUCCCCGGUGCCAAUCCUCCGUAUAGUCCUCGUUCGAUCGGUACUUGCUCCCCACUUUUUAUUCUUUUUUUUUUUUUUUCUCGUUCCUUUUAUUUAAUUAAUUAAUUAAUUAAUAUUUAUUUUAAGUACAACAUUUUUUUGCACCCACAUUUAAGCACAGGUCCCUCAUAGAAAAUCUUGGAUUGUGGUGAUCUAAUUAAGGCUACUAACGUAACAUGAAUCUGUUUUGUUGCAAAACAAGAUAUGCUUUUUUUAUUUUUUUUAUCCCACAAAUUAUGAGAACGUUGAUGAUAUAUAUAGUAGAGGAGUGACUUUGUUUGAUUUGCACGAAACAAAUAGUACAUAAUUCUUUUGAAGUUUUUUUUUUUUUUUAAGAAGAGUUGAUAUUAAAGGGUCGUGUUUUUUUUAUGAAGAACAUAAUUUUAGAUAGAAACUAGAGAAUAAAAAAUAUGAUGGAACUUUUGAGUGCUUCUUUUAUCUAUUUUUCCUUUUUUUUUAUGCCCUUUUUCUAACUAAAAGAGUGGAAUUAUUUGUUCUCUCCAUACUCCAUACAUGAUUUUUAAUUCCAAAGUCUAUUUGAGUUGACUUUACAAGCUCAAUAUAUACUUGGUAGCAGCUAAGUUCGUCUUUAAGAACUAUAAAAAUAUAUAAUACUAGAUCACUAUAUAUAUAUAUAUAUAUAUAUAUAUAUAUAUACACCAUUUUAAAGUAACCCUUCAACUUCUAACUUUUUGUAUGUAAAUUUUAUUAAAUGCAUGUAUGCUUCAUUUGGUUUGCCCUUAAUUUCGAAGUACUAAAUAAGAAUAACUUUGGAUGGAUCAUAUAAUAUAUAUUCCAUUCAAGUGCAUUAAAUAGAUGAUUUAUUAUUAAGCAAGUGGCACCGAAUUGGAACAUGGUCCAAUAAUAAGUGGGCGUGAGAUUACAAUAUGGCUCGAACCAUAAUUACAGUUAUAUAACAGCCCACAACAUUUGAAACGUGACAUCAAACACCCCGUGUUUUGCGACUAUUUGUUAUAUAUAUAUAUAUAUAUAUAUAUAUAUAUAUAUAUAUAGAUAGAUAGAUAGAGUUGAGCUCAAAUAUUAUUAAUAGUAUUUAAACUUUUUUACUAUCAAUUUUUAGCCAUUAGAUCUACACUUUAGUCAAUUCUAUCUUUUAGAUCAUACUAUUCAACUAACAAUCCUCUCAAUUUUAAAAGAACCACCAUUAAAUCCGAGCUAGGAGACCAUUAUUAUCCUAAUCCUAUAAUUUUUUAUUUAAGGGUUAAAAACUCGAUAACGAAAAAGUUCAAAUACUAUUAAUAAUAUUUCAGUCCAAUUUUGUAUAUAAUAUAUAUAAUUCACAAGUUAGUAGCCACCAAGUUCCCAUAUCACUACAACAGAAUUAGAUUAUAGGGACAUAUGUUUGGGACACUUUUGUGUAAGUGUCCCAUUUAUGCCAAAAUUUUUUUUAAAAAAAAUACUAAUGCCUAAAUAUAAAGUCCAAUCCAACCAAAAAUAAAAGGUUACUCUACUCAAUCCACCCCACCCAGCCCAUUCGACCCGAUUACAAACAGAAAAGAAAAAGAAAAAAAAAAAUCGAUUACCAUUUCCCCUUCUCCCCUCAGUCAAUCGACUGAAAUUCUAGACGAAGAUCCCUUCCUCUCAUCCUCCUCCGCCACCGCAGCCAACGAAGUAGAGUUCCAGCUGUUGCUAAAUACUUAAAUAAGUGUUGGUAAAUUACCAGCACUCUUUUUAGGUUAUAGCGACACUCUUUAACUGUCACUAUAUACCUAGCGACCCCACAUAUAGCAACAUUUUUUAAAAGUGUCGGUAAUUUAGCCAGCAGCACUUUUUUUGACCUAUACCGAUAUUUAAAAGUGUCGCUAUAGACUAUUUUUGUUGUAGGGGCAUAUAAUAGUAGAGAUAAUAUCUAAUAUACUUUUCAAAAUUUCGAAAAUAUUUUUUUUAUUUCUAAAUAAGUAAAAUAUUAUUAUUGGUUUUAAAAUAUUUCUUCAAGUAUAUAUAUUUUUUCUCUAGAUUAUGUAAAUGGGAUUAGAUUUUAGAAAAAAAAAUUAAAUAUUAAGAGAAAAUUUUAAUAAUUUUCAAUAGUAGUAAUGAGCAUGUAAGCAAAAUCAUCUAUUUAAGAUAAUCGUGCUUUUCACUUCUAAGGUUCUAUUCUACGUGCCAUAAUUUUUUCAAGUGAUUUUUUUUUAAAAAAAGAGAAUUUAAGGGAUCUCCUAAUUAAACACAACAAUAGUAAUAACUUUUCUGUGUGCAAGGUCCAAGCUAUAUAUUCAUCAUUAUUAAAAUGUCGUUCUUUAUUAGUUUAAACUUCUAAAAAUAUACUAUUUUACAUUAUAAAAAAAUCUAAUAAUACAUUGUAAUUUAGAAAAAUGCCUACUUGUACAUCUCUAUAGUUUAGUGUAAAUCUUGCACGAGUGCAUCUCAAGUAUUUUAGAAUUCCAAUUUUUUUAAAUUUCUAAUUAAAAAAAUUAAUAUGACAAGUAGAGAAUAAGUUCGAAUUCUAGUUUAUGCCAUGUAAGAGUAAUAACGGACCGUCCCUAGAGUAAGUGGCAAAGGGCCUGGUGGUUGGUACUCGAGGUUUCAAGUUCGAAUCCUAGUUAAUUCACAUUUCCAGCUAAAUUUGCUUCUAAAUGAAAUAAAUGAAGUGGGUAGCAUGCUACCUAUUUCUAAAAAAAAAAAAAAGUAAUAAGGUACAGUUUAGCUCAUUGCUUAAUGGUUAUUAACCGAGAUGCCCGCUAAGAUGUCGACGAUUUGAUCCUUUGCUGGUGCUUUUAUAAAACAGAACCGAUCCCUCUCUUAGGGGAAAAAAUGCAUACGCAAUAGGAAUUGAGCGCUAAUGCUUUUAAAAGUAUCAAGUCAGUAUUACUUAUAGGUUUCGGUCCUUAGACUAAGAGAUGCGUGGCCAAGAUGAUAGUAAUUUUCUAAAAUUGAGUGGAUGGUUGAUUGAAUAGUAUAAUCUAAUAAUUAACAGAUAAAAAUGAUCAAAGGAGUAAAUCUAACAGUGUAAAUCUUACAAGCACCGAGUAUUUUGUACUUAAAAGUAUCGGAGCUGAACUGUAUGUUGGUGUUCUUAAGAGAGUAUUUUGAAUUCAGGGGCCCAUGGAGAAACUAAAAAAAAUGAAAAGGAAAAGAAAAGAAAAGAAAAAAGGUAAUAGCCAAAAAGUGGGUACAAACUAACACUUAUAGAUACACUUUUAGAUUGAGCAAUAACAUUUGGCUAUUGAUUUAACUGGUUAGUCAACAUUAAAGACCAAAUAAGGGGUUCUAAAUUGACCACGAAUUUGGCUUUGCUCUUAAUAAGGGAUGGGUACAAUUUAAUUCAUAGGUGUAGUACCAUGCUUUAUAAUGUAUAUUGUACAAAGCAACUUUGUUGGGAGAAAAGUCUUAUGCUCAUUACUUAUACCACAAAAGCAAUAGUAAGAGAGUAGUCAAAAAGAUAUAAUAACAUGAGUCUAGCUUGGUAAUUUUUAGAAGCACAUACAAUAUAUGCUUCAAACCUUUUUAGCACUUAGAUUAAAUAUUAUUCUACCCGUUCCCACUAAAUCAUAAAUAUAUAAUGUUAUAACUUAUUAGCAACCAGUCCGAAUAGAUACUAAUAACAUAUCAAUUACAAGUUGAUCGUCCCUAGUGCAAAUUUAAAAAGGUUUGAUGGUUAUAUAGUAUCGAUUAUUUCAAAUUCGAAGCCUAACUUCGUUUCUAAAAAAAGAACUAUGCUACCAUUAUGUCUAAAAAAAAAAAAUCAUAUCAUUUACAUAUUGGAGACAAAUAUAACUGUUUUCACCAAUGUUCUUUCCUUGUAAUUGUUAAGAUAUCAUUGAUAUUUGGAUGAUGAUUUUUUUUUUUUUUGGGUGUGGGUUUUAUCAAGAAAUAGAAUAAAAAUGAAAUGAGUCAGUAACUCUUGCAAAGAGAUUUUAGAAUGUCACUAGCUAGCUAGGUAACUCUUUUUAUUAGACCAUUCUUUGUGAACUUCACGGACUAAAACAUUUUAUUUUCCGCGCAAUCAAAAUAGGAAAAUGCUUUGCUUAAAAAUAAAUUGCAUUAUACUUUCGAAAUGAAAAAAUACUUGGAUUUUAACUUCGUAAUUAUAAACAAAGCACAGUGAUAUGCAUUCUUGAGUUAUUAAUCUCAAAUAAUAACGGGUAACGGAGCAUGGUUAAGGGGGUCCAAAAUGUGAGAACAAACACAUCUUAAUGGUAAUCAAUAAGGAUAGAAAUAAACAGGCAUUUUGUGUGAAACGCAAUUAUAAUUAACCAAACAUGGUAGGUUAAUGGGCUAAGCCCAAUAAUCCAACAGCAAAAGCCCACUAAAGUGUAAGGUUUUUUCAAUAUAGUUUCGAAUCGAACAUACUUUUUCAAAAUUUUGAGGUGUCGAAUGCCCAAAACCUUAGUUCAUGAGACAAUUUACCCAUUAAUAAGGCAAAUAAAACUUUAUUAUACUAGCUUAUACAUUAGAAUAUAUUCCUUACACAUCACCGAAGAACCGGUUGUGGAUCACGAGGUAAUUAACAAGCCAUUUAGAUUUUAAAGCUGAACCUCUUAACCCAGCAGGAUUUAGAAUAGUCCACACCAAACCUUUUAAUCCGACUAUAAUACUUUGAACAGAGUUUUAAGAGAUUAAGAGAGUUAAGCAUAUUAGAACUAGAGUGGUUCCAUAAUGAAUGACCUCUGUGGGAAGCGAGACGUUAUAGUUGAUAUCAUAAAUAAUUACGAGUCGAAAGUAUGAGAUGGGAUCUCGACUGAAUUGGAGUCAUACAGCGGGCAUAGCACAAUUCCUCAGCCGAUGACUGUUGCGAGUGGGAAUGACCCUCCAGAAAGAAAGCGGGGACGUUACAAUACUAGAUCUAUUUGCAGAUACCUAGGGGUGUAAUGUGCCACAUUUCCCGUGCCGAAACGGGCCGGAGGCCAGCCCGGCACGGCCCGGCCCCAAAGUCGGGCCGUGCCGUGCCGGGCCAAAAUUUUUGGACCCUGGCCCAGCACGGCCCCCCGGCCCGGUCUGUACGGGCCGUGCCGGGCCGGGCCGGGCUUCGGGCCAGCCGUUUUUUAUUUUAUUAAUUUUAUUUAAAAAUAUUUAAAAUUUUUUUAAAAAUAAAAAUAAAGAUAUUAUUUUUAAAAAAAAUUAAUAUAUAAGUAAAAAAAUUUAAAUUUUAAAAUAUAUUUAUAAAAAUAUUAAAAUUUUAAAUUAUUUUAAAAUUUUAAAUUUUUUGGACCAAAAUGUCCUUCCCAACAGUCAAAUUUUUGACUGUUGGGAAGGGCAUUUAGGUCCGGCCCAUCUCCCAAAAGUGUCUGCUUUCACAGAACCCAACUCACUUGGGAGAGCCCCAAAGUCAAAACCCAACUUCCAAUGCACAUUGGGAGUUGGGUUGAUGCAGCUUGGGAGUUGGGUUGGGUGCAACCCAACUGACCAACUCCCUGCCCGGGCCCGGGUCGGGAGGCACGGGCCACACGGGCCGGGCCGGGCCGUGCCGUGCCGGGUCUGGACAUCCCUCAGCCCGGCACGGCCCAAGCCUGUGUCGUGCCGGGCCGUGCCGGGCCACCGGGCCGCGGUAGCAAGGCCCAGCACGACCCGGUUAAGCUGGCCGGGCCGGCCCGGCACGAGUGCUACAGUGCUCGUUCCGUGCCUGGCCCGGCCCACUCCCGUGCCGGGCCGGACGGCCCGCGGGCCGCCCGGCCCGUUUGACACCCCUACAGAUACCUAGCCAACCAACUUGACUUAAAAUAACAAUAAUAAUAAAAGUAAAACAAUUACGUGUCAUGGAGUGAUUAAAUUCUGAUCAACUAAAAAUCACCAUCAUAUGGUGAUAAUCUAUUGGAUAAAUUCAAAUUCUCCCACUUUCAAAGGAAUUGUACACCCCACUUGUGAAGCCAAUGUGUGGGCCAUGGUCCUAAAUUUCCCGACACACUUUCUCUUUUUCCUGUAUAUAUAUAUAUAUAUAUAUAUAUAUAUAGUAGGGCUAGAAUAUUUUUACAAGUAUCACCCAAGUGAUACUUGUGUGUUUUUAACCAUUGGAUCUACUUUUUUAUUACUAAUAGCUUUUAGAUCAAACACUAUUCUACCUACCACCACCUACCACCAUCAUCUCAACCUCACAUCUCUCCAUCCAAGGGCUAAAAACACACAAGUAUCACUUGGGUGAUACUUUUACAAGUAUUCUAGCUCUACUCUAUAUAUAUAUAUAUAUAUAUAUAUAUAUAUAUAUAUAUAUAUAUAUAUAUAAUUGAGCUUCUAUACUUUUAAAAGUACAAAGUUAUUGGUGUUUGUAGAUUUUUGACCAUUGGAUUAAGAGAUGUGCGGUUAGAUGAUAUGGGCCUCCUAGGGUUGAGUGGGUGGUUGGUUUAAUAGUAUAAUUUAAUGGUUGAAAAUGAUCAAAGACGUAAAUCUAACGGUAAAAAACUUACAAGCACCAAGUGCUUGGUGCUUUUACAAAUACCAUAGCAGAACUA